RNAcentral lists this long non-coding RNA (744 nucleotides) under Anas platyrhynchos platyrhynchos (common mallard). RNAcentral describes it as "lncRNA (ENSAPLG00000019288.1)". The record is from RNAcentral. Lineage: Eukaryota; Metazoa; Chordata; Aves; Anseriformes; Anatidae.
CAGACUGAAUCAUGUUCUCUUUAUGCAAUGGUGUUUUACAUGUUAGCACAGACAAGUGGCAUCUAGAAGAGAAGCCAAUCCUUUUCUGUUGUUUUUGUUCCUACUCUGGUAGCGCCUUUGGUCAAGGUCUGUGUCCUAAGUGUAUACAGAUGAAAUAACAGCAAGACUCUGGCCUGGAUCAUUUAAGCCUCAAACCUUAGCAUUGCAGAUAGGUAGACAGAACUAACUAGGAUGUGAAUCCCUGAACCCUUGUUUGAUUUUUUUUUUUUUUUUUUUUUUCCCAAAACAGACCAGGGUAGAAGUUAGAAAUGGUCUCUAUCUCCAUUUCAUAAUUUGAAAAGUACUGUUUGUAGACAUAUAGACAGACAGCAGCUAAGUUAAUAUAUAUAUACAUGCAUAUAUAUAUGUAUAAAUAGUUGCGUAACAUACAUAGAAACUAAAUUGUUUAUCUGAGGUUACAGAUUAUAUAUGUGGAAGAGACGUGGUUUGAACUUACUCAGUUUAACUCCACAGUGCUGUCUCUUCUGCACUUACUCAACCCAGGACUUGACUGCUAAGCAUAUUGUUUCUUUCAUUGUGUCUCUCCCAAGACCAAGACCUCCCUGCAGAUGGAGAAGCUUUCAGUCCUCCAUGUGAUCUCUGAUUGACUUCAGCAACAUUGAACCAGACAUGUUUGUUUCUUCACUCCUGACAGACCCAGUGCCUCUGGGAAGGUGAAAAUAAAUGCCCAGGACCUUACCUGCA